GAAGAAGAAAGAGAUCAUUCUGGUACAAAAGAAAAAGAAACCAUUUGAAUUUGAUUCCUUUCUUUUCUAUUUCAUUAUACAUUUAUUUGGUCAUUCCUUCCCACUUCUUCAAGCUAUAUAGAUUCCACUUUUACAAAAUCCAAAUAGAAGUGAGCUUAUAAAUCUACGCAACCUAAAUUCAUGCAACCAAACUGACUAACAAACUUUUGGAGCCAAAUCAGAGUUCUUGUUGGAGUUGCAGGGAGUGAUUAAAGGGUGCAUUCUGUUGAAGUGCAUGAAAACUUGUGCUUACUCAAAGCGUUCAAUUUCCAGGAAGUGACUAAAAGGUGCGUUUUGUUGAAGUGCACGGAAAGUUGUGCUUACUCAAUGCGUUCAAUUUCGAGAUAAUUAAGAGAUCCAAACUUAUUUUCAUUUGAAGAUGAUCUUCCCUUUUUAGUGCAAGCAGUGACUAAAGGGUAUGUUCUGUUGAAGUGCACGGAAAGUUGUGUUUACUCAAAGUCUUCAAUUCCCAGGGAGACAACAGAGAGAGAUGGAACUUCAACACUUCAUCCAUGAGCAUCCUCUGAUAAUCAAUGAAUUUCCUUGGAACUUCAUGUCCUUUGAGGAAAGGUUUAAUUCUAUUUUUUCUAAAAUUAUGCCCAAAUGUACUGGGUGUGGUGAAGCAAUUGUGGGUUCAUGUGUCUGUUGUGGGAAAUGUAGCUUUCUUCUUCAUAAUUCAUGCGCCAAACUACCCCGUGAGUUGCAACUCCCAAUACAUGACAAACACCCUUUAGUUCUCCAAAUAACUAAAAAUGAUGAAGGCACUUACAAAUGCAACUAUUGCAAUUUAGUUUGCAAACAUUUCUUUUACCAUUGUCCCCUCUGCAAAUUUGUCCUUGAUGUCAAAUGUGCUUCUUCGCUACAAUCCAUCCUUGAAGUCGAAAUUCAUGACCACCCAUUGGCCCUCUUCCAAGGUUCAAUCUCAUUCACUUGUAAUUUUUGUGGUAAAAAAGGUCAGGACAAGCCUUGCCAAUGUGCCUUAUGUGGAAUUUGGUUCCACCACAAAUGUGCUUUCUUACCACACAUGGUCAAACAUAUGCGGCACAAGCACCCUCUCAACCUCACCAAACUUCUCAAGACUGAUCAAUCUGAGGACCGACUUUGUCAAUUUUGUGUAAAAAAGUUGGAAACAAACUAUGGGAUUUAUUAUUGCUCAAGUUGUGAUUAUGUUGUCCAUCUUGAUUGUGCUAUUGACAACUUUGGUAUGGAGCUAACAUUGGAGAGGGAAUCAAAAGAUGAGGAGCUUUUUGAGUCAACAACCAGGGUGGGGAAGGACAAAAUUGAAGUACCCAUAGAAAUCAAACAUUUCAGUCAUGAGCAUGAAUUGAAGCUUACCGAUGAGCUUGAGAAUUAUGAAAUAUGUGAUGGGUGUAUACGACCUAUCUUCCCUCCGUUUUACAAGUGUGCUCAGUGUUCUUUCUUUCUACACAAAUCAUGUGUAGAAUUACCCAAUAAAAAGCAACAUCCAUUUCACAUGCACACGCUCACCAUGAAAUCAAGGAGACCUAUGCUUGCUCGUUGUGAUGUUUGUGAACUUUUUACUAAUGGCUUUACCUAUGAGUGUAGCAUAUGCAGCGGGUUUGAACUUGAUGUUUCAUGUAGUUUGAUCCCAGAAAAGCUUACUCAUGUUGGCCACGAGCAUUCCCUCAUUCUCUCUAGUACAACAUUGGAUGAGAAGUGUAGUGCUUGUAAUUAUAAAAUGAAAAUCUUUCGUUGUACUAAAUGUGAAUUUACUCUAGAUUUUGGAUGUGCUACGCUGCCACUCACUGUAAAACAUAGACAACACGAGCAUCUUUUUACCUUACGAUAUUCUGCUGAAGAUAAUUCAGGUGAAUAUUAUUGUGAUAUUUGUGAGGAAGAACGAGAAUCAAAGUUUUGGUUCUAUUACUGUGAUGAAUGUAGUUUUCCUGCUCACCCCAAAUGUAUAUUUGGAGAGUUCUUAAAUAUCAAGUAUCGAGACUGCCGAAACAUCAAGUUUGGAAGCACUUACACAUCCGACAUCCACCAACAUCCCCUCACUCUUGCUCGUAAGACUAUGGACCAUGACUCAUGUGACAAGUGUGGUAAAUUUUGCAAUGAAGUGGCCUAUGAAUGUGCCACUUGUAAUUCCAUUAUUCAGGUGAAGGGUCUGCCGAAUUGUAAAACCUCUCUGAUGGACUUCGCCGUGGAACAAAAACAACUUGAACAAGUAAGAAAAUGUUUGAGUUUAUUUUUUAAGGGAAAAUUUAUGAGGAUAAAAUUUAGAAUUGAAGCUCAUGUUCCGCAUUCAUUAAUUUUGUUUUUAUUUCUUUUACUUAGCAAAUUGCCGAUAUAAUCUAAGAUACUUUACCUUUGCUCAUGGUAACCUCUCUUAUAUAAAUCAUAUGUUCAAAUGCAAUGCGGAGUUUGCAGUUUUCUAAGUCUCACUUGGUAUCAGGGCUUCACAAUCUCUGGAAAAUUUUAGCAACUUUUAUUUUUUGGUCUGAAGUUUCUGGUAGGACAACCAGAUUCGGGUCCAUUUAACCCCUUUUUCUUGCACCACUCCAAUAAUAAUUCUGGUUUGGCACUUGUUUCUCAGCCUCUCAUUGGUGAGAAUUACAAAACAUAAGAGUCAAUCCAUGAUAAUGACGCUCACAGCCAAGAACAAGAUUAGUUUCAUCAACGAGUCUAUUAUUCCAAAACCUGUUUAACAGUUUAGACCCAAAUUUCCUUGCUUGGAAACGAUGUAAUACCAUGAUUCUUUCAUGGCUUCUCAAUUAUAUAUGUUUCCGAGGAAAGUUUGAAUACUUGACCAACAUUAAACUAUUUUAUAUAGUGAAUUAACAACUAUUUUUGACAUUAUUUAGGAUUUGUCUAUCGAUUUGCCAAAAAAUAAAAUGUUGCGCAAAGUUAGGUUGAGUAGAACACCAUACUUGUUAUUAACGGUAAUAAGUCAACUAAUAACAUCUUUUACGCUGUUGUUUAUAAUUUUUUUUUCUCUAAGGUUGAAGCAAAGCGCCAAA
Molecule: RNA transcript, 3020 nt
Organism: Quercus robur (English oak)
Lineage: Eukaryota; Viridiplantae; Streptophyta; Magnoliopsida; Fagales; Fagaceae
Exons: 6
Source: RefSeq, a predicted model, not a curated record